CCUACGGGGGGCUGCAGUGAGGAAUAUUGGUCAAUGGGCGAGAGCCUGAACCAGCCAAGUCGCGUGAGGGAGUACUGCCCUAUGGGUUGUAAACCUCUUUUGUCGGGGAGCAAAAGCCGGACGUGUCCGGCUGUGAGAGUACCCGAAGAAAAGGCAUCGGCUAACUCCGUGCCAGCAGCCGCGGUAAUACGGAGGAUGCGAGCGUUAUCCGGAUUUAUUGGGUUUAAAGGGGGCGCAGGCGGAUUUUUAAGUCAGCGGUAAAAUCGUGGGGCUCAACCCCAUCCAGCCGUUGAAACUGGGGAUCUAGAGUGUGCGAGAGGUAUGCGGAAUGCGUGGUGUAGCGGUGAAAUGCAUAGAUAUCACGCAGAACCCCGAUUGCGAAGGCAGCAUACCGGUGCACAACUGACGCUCAGGCACGAAAGCGUGGGUAUCGAACAGGAUUAGAUACCCGUGUAGUC
Molecule: ribosomal RNA, 458 nt
Filed under: uncultured bacterium
Lineage: Bacteria
Description: partial 16S ribosomal RNA
Rfam family: Bacterial small subunit ribosomal RNA
Source: RNAcentral